UGUUCCUCCGUCCCGUCGUCCGGUGCGAUCCCAUCCAUCGUCUCGCGUCUGCGGCGUGCAGGUGCAGGUCCAGUGCGUCGCCUCUCGAUUCGAUUCUUUCAUGGAUGGAUGGUCUCCGCGCCAACCCUUAGCUUCCUCCAAAUCCAUCGAUCGUCACCAUCCCGACCCCAAUCCCAGCCCCGCCCCGCCCCGCCGAUGAUGCAGCAGCACCAGCAAGAGGACGACCCAGCACCGCCACCCGCAGUCGCCGAUCCCGACCCUCCGCCGCCCCCCGACCGCGGUGAUGCCGCCGCCUCCGCCUCCCGCAACGCCUCCUCCAAGUACGAUUUCGUCAAGGUCAAGGUGUGGCUCGGGGAGAACGCCGACCACUACUACGUCCUCUCCAGGUUCCUCCUCAGCAGGAUGCUCACCGUCACCAAGAUUCCUAAUCAUGUCGCCAUCAAGAUUGCCCUUGAGCUCAAGAAGCUGCUUGUCGACAACAGCCUGCUUGAUGUCUCCCAGAGUGAUCUAGAGGCUAAUCUAUUCAAGCUUAUGGAAAAACGGGGAUAUGGCGAGGACUAUAUAAAUCGCUAUAAAAUGAUGACAAGGUUCCAUCAUCAAAGGGUUCCACUAGUCAUUUUAGUGUGUGGAACUGCAUGUACUGGAAAAUCAACAAUCGCUACACAACUUGCUCAGAGGCUCAAUUUGCCUAAUGUUUUACAGACAGACAUGGUGUAUGAGCUGCUGCGGACAUCAACAGAUGCGCCACUUACUUCUGUUCCCGUGUGGGCUCGGGAUUUUAAUUCACCUGAGGAGCUUAUCACUGAAUUCUGCAGAGAAUGCAGAGUUGUACGCAAGGGUUUGGCUGGCGAUUUGAAGAAGGCCAUGAAAGAUGGGAAGCCAAUUAUUAUAGAGGGAAUACAUUUGGAUCCAAGCAUUUAUCUUAUGGAUGAGGAAAAGAGAGAUGGUAAUUCCAGGACGGAGAAGACAGUAAUGGAUUCUGAAAAUCCAGGCAUCUCUGUAGAAAGGAAGACCGAACACCAAUCCAAAAAUGGACUAGCAGAGAACAGAAUGAAUCCUACGGAGGACAACAAAAACUUUGUCAAAAUCAAAGAAAGCAUGUUGGAGGGAAGUAGAACCCGUAAAGGACUAUCUUAUGCUGAGAGCCAUGAAACCAAGAUUCAUGAUUCUGCAUGUUCUCAAGAAAGAAAUCCAAAAGAUGAAAGUGAUGGGCACAAAGAUUUGGACCAACAGAAGAAUAACACCACCAAGAAAGACAAACCUGCUGCUGAACCAAUAGUUGUUCCAAUUGUACUGAGGAUGUCUGAUUUUGAUCACAAAGCAUUGUUAGAGGAAUGGAUAGCCACUAGAGCUUUCAGAGAUAAUUGCAUUCCUCAGGAUCACCGGAAACUUAUAAAUAACCUUAAGCUUAUUCAGGACUACCUUUGUUCUUUUGAGUCACAGGCAAGUUUCCCCUGAUUGACAGGCUGGUAUAUUUUAGGGAUUGACCAUUGUUGACAUCUCAGCAAAUUCGUUUCCUCAAACAUUAGAUUGGCUUCACAGCUAUCUUCUUCAGUGCAUCGAGCGAGGUCUUUUGGCUGCGUGUUCAGAAAGCUGCAAUCAAGGGGGAAAUUAAUCGACAUGACACUAUGGGAUUGUCCUAGAGAGAGAUAGGUUAUUGUUAUGGAUGAGGCAUUUUGUUCAAUGUAACCUGGUUGAUAUAAUCUGUUGUACUUUAAUCUGUUGUACUGGCAAAGUCGCAGUGAGUGAUAUUACAUACGAUCCACAGUGCUGACUAUUAUUCAUGCAAACAGAAGCAUUCUGCCUGGCUGCUAAGCCUGUUUGCUUGAACUUA
This is an RNA transcript of Sorghum bicolor (sorghum), 1834 nucleotides long. RefSeq lists it as uncharacterized. The transcript is spliced from 14 exons. The record is from RefSeq and is a predicted model, not a curated record. NCBI's taxonomy places the organism in Eukaryota, Viridiplantae, Streptophyta, Magnoliopsida, Poales, Poaceae.